RNAcentral lists this ribosomal RNA (690 nucleotides) under uncultured bacterium. RNAcentral describes it as "bacterial SSU rRNA". It matches the Rfam family "Bacterial small subunit ribosomal RNA", at positions 51 to 730 of the family's 1533-position model. The record is from RNAcentral.
ACACAUGCAAGUCGAGGGGCAGCAUGGUCUUAGCUUGCUAAGGCCGAUGGCGACCGGCGCACGGGUGAGUAACACGUAUCCAACCUGCCGUCUACUCUUGGACAGCCUUCUGAAAGGAAGAUUAAUACAAGAUGGCAUCAUGAGUCCGCAUGUUCACAUGAUUAAAGGUAUUCCGGUAGACGAUGGGGAUGCGUUCCAUUAGAUAGUAGGCGGGGUAACGGCCCACCUAGUCUUCGAUGGAUAGGGGUUCUGAGAGGAAGGUCCCCCACAUUGGAACUGAGACACGGUCCAAACUCCUACGGGAGGCAGCAGUGAGGAAUAUUGGUCAAUGGGCGAGAGCCUGAACCAGCCAAGUAGCGUGAAGGAUGACUGCCCUAUGGGUUGUAAACUUCUUUUAUAAAGGAAUAAAGUCGGGUAUGGAUACCCGUUUGCAUGUACUUUAUGAAUAAGGAUCGGCUAACUCCGUGCCAGCAGCCGCGGUAAUACGGAGGAUCCGAGCGUUAUCCGGAUUUAUUGGGUUUAAAGGGAGCGUAGAUGGAUGUUUAAGUCAGUUGUGAAAGUUUGCGGCUCAACCGUAAAAUUGCAGUUGAUACUGGAUAUCUUGAGUGCAGUUGAGGCAGGCGGAAUUCGUGGUGUAGCGGUGAAAUGCUUAGAUAUCACGAAGAACUCCGAUUGCGAAGGCAGCCUGCU